UGGGGAAUAUUGCACAAUGGGCGCAAGCCUGAUGCAGCCAUGCCGCGUGUAUGAAGAAGGCCUUCGGGUUGUAAAGUACUUUCAGCGGGGAGGAAGGGAGUAAAGUUAAUACCUUUGCUCAUUGACGUUACCCGCAGAAGAAGCACCGGCUAACUCCGUGCCAGCAGCCGCGGUAAUACGGAGGGUGCAAGCGUUAAUCGGAAUUACUGGGCGUAAAGCGCACGCAGGCGGUUUGUUAAGUCAGAUGUGAAAUCCCCGGGCUCAACCUGGAAACUGCAUCUGAUACUGGCAAGCUUGAGUCUAGUAGAGGGGGGUAGAAUUCCAGGUGUGGCGGUGAAAUGCGUAGAGAUCUGGAGGAAUACCGGUGGCGAAGGCAACACCCUGGACAAAGACUGACGCUCAGGUGCGAAAGCGUGGGGAGCAAACGGG
This 429-nucleotide ribosomal RNA is filed under the name Chloroflexota bacterium. RNAcentral's name for it is "Chloroflexi bacterium partial 16S ribosomal RNA". It matches the Rfam family "Bacterial small subunit ribosomal RNA", at positions 355 to 776 of the family's 1533-position model. The record is from RNAcentral. Lineage: Bacteria; Bacillati; Chloroflexota.